This 486-nucleotide ribosomal RNA is filed under the name uncultured bacterium. Its description in RNAcentral is "partial 16S ribosomal RNA". It matches the Rfam family "Bacterial small subunit ribosomal RNA", at positions 29 to 507 of the family's 1533-position model. The record is from RNAcentral.
AACGAACGCUGGCGGCGCGUCUUAACCAUGCAAGUCGAGCGGCAGGCAGCAAUGCCGAGAGCGGCGGACUGGUGAGUAACACGUGGAUAACGUACCCCGAUGUCCGGGACAGCCUGUAGAAAUAGAGGGUAAUACCGGAUAGAUCACUGUUUACGUGAGGUAGACAGCGGGAAAGGAGCUUCGGCUCCGCGACGGGAUCGGUCUGCGGCCCAUCAGCUGGACGGCGGGGUAAAGGCCCGCCGUGGCGAGGACGGGUAUCCGGCCUGAGAGGGCGGACGGACACAUUGGGACUGAGAUACGGCCCAGACUCCUACGGGAGGCAGCAGGUAAGAAUAUUCCGCAAUGGGGGGAACCCUGACGGAGCGACGCCGCGUGUACGAAGAAGGCCGGAAGGUUGUAAAGUUCUUUUCUGUCCGAGGAAUAAGUUUCGGAGGAAAUGCCGGGACGGUGACGGUAGGGCAGGAAUAAGCACCGGCUAAUUACGUG